ACCCCAUCACAGGCACAGGCCGCACAGCGAACUCUGCGCAUCCACCUCUCUCCACCGCUCUCUCCUCUCUUUACCCCGCACUGGAACGCUCUCGACUUCUCGACACCGGCAGCAGCAGGAGGUGGAGCACGGGCAUGGUGAUCGGACUCGGACUCCCCUGAUCUCAGCCUCUUUUCACCAGCGCGAGGGCGGCGCGGGCUCAAGCCGGGAUGGGGUAUCUGCCGGCGCUGGGCGGGAAGGCGGCGCACCUGGUGUCCGACCUCGCCACCGUCAUCCUCAACCCCGUCUCCGAGCGCGAGCGCCAGCGACACCACCCCUCCCACCUCCCGGAGGCCAAUGAAGGAAAAGACACACUAUUCGAUGAUGAUGAUUCUGACCAAAAUUCUGAGACUCCUGAUGGUCCUGACACAUCUUCCUUCAGAGCAUUUCUGAUGUCCUUUGUGCCUUCCUCAACUGCCAGCAAGGAUUCAAUGGAGACCAUAACUGAGCAUAAUCUAGAUGUGGAAUACCCAACUUUAACACCUGUUGGGAAGGCAUGUAGUGGGAGGAAAAGUCUGCUUAGUAGAGGGAAACAUUCCAUUGGUAGGAUUAUUAGCAAAGCAGGACUUGGUAAUUUGAAACAGAAACAGACCCCCAGCAUUGAUGGUGAAAUCAUAAGUCAAACAGAAUCAGUUGCACCCAGAUUUGAAAUGAAGCGAUCAAAAGAAUCAACUUUGCAUGAUAAAUUGCCAGCUAUGUCUGAACCAUCUGUUCUUCUAACAGAAAUGAUGCGAGCUGUUCUUUAUACAUCUCUUCCUGUUCUUGCUCAAGGAAGGAACUGGAUGCUGGUAUACAGCACCUGGAGGCAUGGAAUUUCUUUGUCUACUCUGUAUCGAAGAAGCAGGCUUUGUGCUGGCUACUCACUUCUGAUAGUUGGGGAUCGAAGAGGAGCAGUUUUUGGUGGUUUGGUCGAGGCCCCACUGCAGCCUAUCAUAAAAAAGAAGUAUCAGGGAACUAAUGACUGCUUUGUGUUCACCAACGUAGAUGGCCGUCCUGUUAUAUGCCAUCCAACAGGUGCUAAUAACUAUUUUACGUUUUGUUCUACCGACUAUUUGGCAAUGGGAGGUGGUGGUCACUUCGCACUUUAUCUCGAUGGAGACCUGUAAUCUCUGUUCUUCCUUUCCAUCGUGACACAAAAUUCCUAGUUUCUAGGUUUUGUUAGCAUAUUGAUGGAAAAUUCCUAGAAAGUGUGACUGGUUCUAGUUCCACUUCCGAGACUUUUAACAACCCAUGCUUAUCCCAUACCCAGGAAUUCAAAAUCAAAGAUGUGGAGCUUUGGGGCUUCGUCAAUGCUUCCAAGUAUGAAGAGAUGCUCACGGUCUGCCGCACCGAAAAGCAAGGAAUUUGGAAUCUGUGACCCUUUUGGAGUUACACUAAGCUGUUGAUUGAUGGUGUGAGGUGUCAACCGAUCCUCCGGUGUGGCUUGUACAGUUUUGUAGUAAACGUUUGUAUAGCAUGUAGAGGAGAGUUUCCAUAGGGAAUGAGAAGUUGAAACAUGAAGAGUUUUGCUUUGUAAAUACUAAAUGCCAUUUAUAGAAAAUACUGUGUGGUACUACUAGUACACUAAUAGCUAACUGCAUAUAUUUCAUAGAAACUAAGAAUGUCCUGCCUAUAUUGCAGAUGGAGCUUUUUGAACUGGAA
RNA transcript from Sorghum bicolor (sorghum), 1680 nucleotides. It is a transcript of the gene named nuclear receptor coactivator 7-like, with no coding region annotated. Lineage: Eukaryota; Viridiplantae; Streptophyta; Magnoliopsida; Poales; Poaceae. The transcript has 8 exons. The record is from RefSeq and is a predicted model, not a curated record.